This 503-nucleotide ribosomal RNA is filed under the name uncultured bacterium. Its description in RNAcentral is "bacterial SSU rRNA". It matches the Rfam family "Bacterial small subunit ribosomal RNA", at positions 30 to 528 of the family's 1533-position model. The record is from RNAcentral.
AUUGAACGCUGGCGGCAUGCCUUACACAUGCAAGUCGAACGGUAACAGGUCUUCGGAUGCUGACGAGUGGCGAACGGGUGAGUAAUACAUCGGAACGUGCCCGAUCGUGGGGGAUAACGGAGCGAAAGCUUUGCUAAUACCGCAUACGAUCUACGGAUGAAAGCAGGGGACCGCAAGGCCUUGCGCGGACGGAGCGGCCGAUGGCAGAUUAGGUAGUUGGUGGGAUAAAAGCUUACCAAGCCGACGAUCUGUAGCUGGUCUGAGAGGACGACCAGCCACACUGGGACUGAGACACGGCCCAGACUCCUACGGGAGGCAGCAGUGGGGAAUUUUGGACAAUGGGCGAAAGCCUGAUCCAGCCAUGCCGCGUGCAGGAUGAAGGCCUUCGGGUUGUAAACUGCUUUGUACGAACGAAAGACUCCUUCUAAUAAAGGGGUCCAAUGACGGUACCGUAAGAAUAAAGCACCGGCUAACUAACGUGCCAGCAGCCGCGGUAAACUCGU